Suncus etruscus (white-toothed pygmy shrew) is the source of this 676-nucleotide long non-coding RNA. RefSeq lists it as uncharacterized. NCBI's taxonomy places the organism in Eukaryota, Metazoa, Chordata, Mammalia, Eulipotyphla, Soricidae. The transcript has 5 exons. The record is from RefSeq and is a predicted model, not a curated record.
AGACCUUCAACAAGAAAUUCUCAGAACCUGCCAGCCAACAUAUAGACUGACCCCAGUUCCUGAGCUGUUUGUUGUCUAUAUCCUGAGAGGUGGAGAAAUACUUUCCCGGAAACCAGCAGGGAAAAUAGUGUUCCAGGAGGAAGAAGACCAGACAAAGAUGAUGUUAAUUUCCUGAAGCAUCUCAAAGCAACAGAAACAUUGCCAGAACCUUUAAACAUGGAAGAUGCUCUGUAUGUAUAAUUGUUGAAUAGACAAAAAAUUAAUGAAAGGACCCUACAAAAACGAGAAUAUUGGAAGCCAGAAAGAGGAUGCAGAGUAACAUGCUUUCACAAUACUAUUUUCUUUCAGUCAUUGUUCUCUUGAAUGAAAGAAAGAUUCACAUCUGGAAAAUGAUAUAGCUAGUGUGAUGAAGAAUGAGGCUGACCCCAUGAUAUUUUUAAGUACCCAACCUAGUAUCAACUAUUUAGCAUCUUUCUUGAUGUGUUUUUCAUCUAUGACGUUUCUGGUUAAAAUUAUGUUCUCCAUCUAAGUGAUUCCCAUCAAUAUGGAGAUAUUAUUAAGAUUAUUGAUGCAAGACACAUGAAAUCCUGCUAUCAUCACAGAGAAAGAUAUUUCUGCUUAAGAAACAGAUUCAGGGAAGAUAAAUCACUAUGAUGACCCGGACCUUCUUGAUGCC